CCUACGGGUGGCAGCAGUGGGGAAUAUUGGGCAAUGGGCGCAAGCCUGACCCAGCAACGCCGCGUGAAGGAAGAAGGCUCUCGGGUUUGAAACUUGCUUUUAUGGGGAAGUGGAGAAGACGGUACCCCUUGAAUAAGCCACGGCUAACUACGUGCCAGCAGCCGCGGUAAUACGUAGGUGGCAAGCGUUGUCCGGAUUUACUGGGUGUAAAGGGCGUGCAGCCGGGAGGAGAAGUCAGAUGUGAAAUCCCGCGGCUCAACCGCGGAACUGCAUUUGAAACUGUUUUUCUUGAGUACCGGAGAGGUAAUCGGAAUGCAUUGUGUAGCGGUGAAAUGCGUAGAUAUAAGGAAGAACACCAGUGGCGAAGGCAGAUGACUAGACGGCAACUGACGGUGAGGCGCGAAAGCGUGGGGAGCAAACAGGAUUAGAUACCCUUGUAGUC
Molecule: ribosomal RNA, 442 nt
Filed under: uncultured bacterium
Lineage: Bacteria
Description: partial 16S ribosomal RNA
Rfam family: Bacterial small subunit ribosomal RNA
Source: RNAcentral